UGCAAGUCGAGCGGAAACGAUCCUAGCUUGCUAGGAGGCGUCGAGCGGCGGACGGGUGAGUAACGCAUAGGAAUCUGCCCGGUAGUGGGGGAUAACCUGGGGAAACCCAGGCUAAUACCGCAUACGUCCUACGGGAGAAAGCAGGGGAUCUUCGGACCUUGCGCUAUCGGAUGAGCCUAUGUCGGAUUAGCUUGUUGGUGAGGUAACGGCUCACCAAGGCAACGAUCCGUAGCUGGUCUGAGAGGAUGAUCAGCCACAUCGGGACUGAGACACGGCCCGAACUCCUACGGGAGGCAGCAGUGGGGAAUAUUGGACAAUGGGCGAAAGCCUGAUCCAGCCAUGCCGCGUGUGUGAAGAAGGCCUUCGGGUUGUAAAGCACUUUCAGUGAGGAAGAAAGCCUUGAGGUUAAUACCCUUGAGGGAGGACAUCACUCACAGAAGAAGCACCGGCUAACUCCGUGCCAGCAGCCGCGGUAAUACGGAGGGUGCGAGCGUUAAUCGGAAUUACUGGGCGUAAAGCGCGCGUAGGCGGCUUGAUAAGCCGGUUGUGAAAGCCCCGGGCUCAACCUGGGAACGGCAUCCGGAACUGUCAGGCUAGAGUGCAGGAGAGGAAGGUAGAAUUCCCGGUGUAGCGGUGAAAUGCGUAGAGAUCGGGAGGAAUACCAGUGGCGAAGGCGGCCUUCUGGACUGACACUGACGCUGAGGUGCGAAAGCGUGGGUAGCAAACAGGAUUAGAUACCCUGGUAGUCCACGCCGUAAACGAUGUCGACUAGCCGUUGGGCUCCUUGAGAGCUUUGUGGCGCAGUUAACGCGAUAAGUCGACCGCCUGGGGAGUACGGCCGCAAGGUUAAAACUCAAAUGAAUUGACGGGGGCCCGCACAAGCGGUGGAGCAUGUGGUUUAAUUCGAUGCAACGCGAAGAACCUUACCUACCCUUGACAUCGAGAGAACUUUCCAGAGAUGGAUUGGUGCCUUCGGGAACUCU
RNAcentral lists this ribosomal RNA (983 nucleotides) under Halomonas sp. JSM 077052. RNAcentral describes it as "bacterial SSU rRNA". It matches the Rfam family "Bacterial small subunit ribosomal RNA", at positions 56 to 1030 of the family's 1533-position model. The record is from RNAcentral. Lineage: Bacteria; Pseudomonadati; Pseudomonadota; Gammaproteobacteria; Oceanospirillales; Halomonadaceae.